Molecule: ribosomal RNA, 492 nt
Filed under: uncultured bacterium
Lineage: Bacteria
Description: bacterial SSU rRNA
Rfam family: Bacterial small subunit ribosomal RNA
Source: RNAcentral
CUAGCUACAGGCUUAACACAUGCAAGUCGAGGGGCAGCAUAUCGAAGCUUGCUUUGAUAGAUGGCGACCGGCGCACGGGUGAGUAACGCGUAUCCAACCUUCCCCUUAGUAGGGCAUAGCCCGUAGAAAUGCGGAUUAAUACCCUAUGUUGUAUUAUGAGGACAUCUGAAAGAUACCAAAGGUUUACCGCUAAGGGAUGGGGAUGCGUCUGAUUAGGUUGUUGGCGGGGUAACGGCCCACCAAGCCUGCGAUCAGUAGGGGUUCUGAGAGGAAGGUCCCCCACAUUGGAACUGAGACACGGUCCAAACUCCUACGGGAGGCAGCAGUGAGGAAUAUUGGUCAAUGGGCGAGAGCCUGAACCAGCCAAGUAGCGUGCAGGAUGACGGCCCUAUGGGUUGUAAACUGCUUUUAUGCGGGGAUAAAGUGAGGGACGUGUCCCUUUUUGUAGGUACCGCAUGAAUAAGGACCGGCUAAUUCCGUGCCAGCAGCUGC